GACGGCCAUUACUUCUAAGGAAGGCAGCAGGCGCCGUAAAAUUACCCCAAUCCUAAUACGGGGGAGGUAGUGACAAGAAAUAUUGAUAUUGGACCCAAAGGGUACAAUGAUUGAAAUGAGAACAAUAUAAAAAACUUAACGACUAACAAUUGGAGGGCAAGUCUGGUGCCAGCAGCCGCGGUAAUUCCAGCUCCAAGAGUGUAUAUUAAAAGUUGUUGCGGUUAAAAAGCUCGUAGUUGAAUUUCUGAAAAUAAUCUUGUGAUUGAUUUAACCGUCAUGAACAAAAAUUGUUUACAUACUUGAUAGAUGGAAACAUUUAUCUUAAUGACUUUGAAAAAAUUAGAGUGUUCAAAGCAUGAUUCACAUUUGAAUAAUACAGCAUGGGAUAAUAUAAUAUGACAUUAGUUAAAAAUUUGUUGGUUUCUUUGGCUAAUGUAAUGAUUAAAAGGG
RNAcentral lists this ribosomal RNA (450 nucleotides) under uncultured eukaryote. Its description in RNAcentral is "bacterial SSU rRNA". It matches the Rfam family "Eukaryotic small subunit ribosomal RNA", at positions 402 to 877 of the family's 1831-position model. The record is from RNAcentral.